AGCGAACGCUGGCGGCAGGCUUAACACAUGCAAGUCGAGCGGGCAUCCUUGUGGUGUCAGCGGCAGACGGGUGAGUAACGCGUGGGAACGUGCCCUUCGGUUCGGAAUAACUCAGGGAAACUUGAGCUAAUACCGGAUACGUGCGAGAGCAGAAAGGUUUAUCUGCCGAAGGAUCGGCCCGCGUCUGAUUAGCUAGUUGGUGAGGUUACGGCUCACCAAGGCGACGAUCAGUAGCUGGUCUGAGAGGAUGAUCAGCCACACUGGGACUGAGACACGGCCCAGACUCCUACGGGAGGCAGCAGUGGGGAAUAUUGGACAAUGGGGGCAACCCUGAUCCAGCCACGCCGCGUGAGUGAUGACGGCCUUAGGGUUGUAAAGCUCUUUUCUCCGGGACGAUAAUGACGGUACCGGAGGAAUAAGCCCCGGCUAACUUCGUG
RNAcentral lists this ribosomal RNA (437 nucleotides) under uncultured bacterium. Its description in RNAcentral is "partial 16S ribosomal RNA". It matches the Rfam family "Bacterial small subunit ribosomal RNA", at positions 29 to 507 of the family's 1533-position model. The record is from RNAcentral.